Molecule: ribosomal RNA, 232 nt
Filed under: uncultured bacterium
Lineage: Bacteria
Description: partial 16S ribosomal RNA
Rfam family: Bacterial small subunit ribosomal RNA
Source: RNAcentral
GAUCCUGGCUCAGGAUGAACGCUAGCUACAGGCUUAACACAUGCAAGUCGAGGGGCAGCAUAGUGUUCUAGCAAUAGAAUACGGAUGGCGACCGGCGCACGGGUGAGUAACACGUAUCCAACCUGGCUGUUAUUCGGGAAUAGCCUUGCGAAAGUAAGACUAAUGCCCAAUGAUAUCCCACGAAGGCAUCCGAAUGGGAUUAAAGAUUUAUCGGUGAUGGAUGGGGAUGCGU